GUAGCUCUCACAGCAUCAUUACCGCCCAAUCAGAUUGUCACACAUUUAUUAAUUCCUUCUCUCUAGAACUUAAAGGAUUCAUAGAGGUUGUCCAGUCUAUCUUUCCCCACUGAGGUCCAGAAAGUGACUUGGGAAGGUCAUACAAGUAACAAGUGAGAAAGCUGGGAUUCAAACUCAGGCCAUGAUCAAAUUCUUCUUCCUUCAGGAAGCCUUCUGAUAGACAAAAUCAAUUUUCACUUUGAACAAGAAGCAAAAAAGAGUCAAAAAAACUGUCAUGAAGGAGAUUGCAAUUGGGUUGAAUGCUAAGCCUUUUUUCCAGAUGGGCCUGAAGUUAAUCAUCUCAUUGAAUUUCCUCCUGCCUUCAUAUGGAUAAAUUAUUUCAAGAGGAUUAUCCAGAAAACAAAUCAGUGUUCUUGAAGAGCAGUCAAAGCCAUUUGGAUAGAGGUGGGACUGCAGACAUGGGCACCAGCUUGGACUGAUGCUGAAAGGAAGAGAAAAUACUGAGUCCAAGGAGCUUAUCAAUAAAAAUUAUGUAAAAUAAGACUGGAAAGAAUAU
This 556-nucleotide long non-coding RNA is filed under the name Monodelphis domestica (gray short-tailed opossum). RNAcentral describes it as "lncRNA (ENSMODG00000031778.2)". Lineage: Eukaryota; Metazoa; Chordata; Mammalia; Didelphimorphia; Didelphidae. The record is from RNAcentral.